RNAcentral lists this small RNA (703 nucleotides) under Histoplasma capsulatum. Its description in RNAcentral is "hypothetical RNA". The record is from RNAcentral. Lineage: Eukaryota; Fungi; Ascomycota; Eurotiomycetes; Onygenales; Ajellomycetaceae. RNAcentral also lists the same sequence under 1 other name.
GAUGAUAGAAAGUUUUGGCUCAUGAACUGACCUAGGAAAACCGAAGGCCACAAUAAUUCUUGCGAAUUAUUGUUUCCUGGCCUUUUGGCCCAUGAAUCCUGUAAUGCAACUCAUGGAGCCAAUAUUGGUCUGUACAAUACCAGAUGACAGUAUGGCUACUUAACCACCCUGUCGCAGAAUCUGAAUUUGAAAAUUUGGGCAUCAGCCAGAGAUUGUCUCCGUUGUGCCAAACCAACCUAACCACUUCACCAAGAGGUGAUGACCAAAUGGUAUUUACAUAUUUCAGGCAGAGCCUUUGAGUUAUCAGCGUCAACGCCCCAGACGAGCUCGACUUUCUUUCCAUCUCAUACCUACCAUACCAGAAUCAAUCUCAAGAAGCAACAACACCUUGCAAACCAUGUUCUGCCAGUGGGUAAAGUUUAGGCCAUCUUCAUUCACUUUUUAAAAAUGCUGCUGUAUCUUUUGUCCCAAUUAACAUAGCACUCCUUGAUAGGAUGAAGCAAUCAACAGCCAACGAUGUCGUACCUGAAUGUACAGCAUUAUAACACCAUUCCCACUAUGUAUUAUGAACACUGCCAAACCGUGCAAAACUAUGCCAAGUCGUCCUAUUGCGCUUUCAAUCACACAGCCUGCAAAUGAAAACAUCAUGGUGAAAUGACAGUACACAACAAAAAGAGGCACAUUCGCGAUUUUGAAGACCCUU